This 502-nucleotide transfer RNA is filed under the name uncultured Bartonella sp. Its description in RNAcentral is "partial 16S-23S ribosomal RNA intergenic spacer". The stretch from base 77 to 150 matches the Rfam family "tRNA". Lineage: Bacteria; Pseudomonadati; Pseudomonadota; Alphaproteobacteria; Hyphomicrobiales; Bartonellaceae. The record is from RNAcentral.
UUUAAGAAAAGCAUUUUCCAUUAAAAGAAUGCUUUCAUGUGAUAAUGCCGGGGAAGGUUUUCCGGUUUAUCCCGGAGGGCUUGUAGCUCAGUUGGUUAGAGCGCGCGCUUGAUAAGCGUGAGGUCGGAGGUUCAAGUCCUCCCAGGCCCACCAAUUAUCCAUCCAUAGAAAAGCGCUUAGAAAGUUUGACUGUUAACAGGUCAACGUUGUUUUGUAGGACGCCAAUAUUGUCUUGAAAAAGAGCUUUCUUGUAAAGUUUGAGAAAACUUGUUUAUCGCUUUUUGUAAGAUGUGGUGUUUGUCUGCUUUUAAAGCGAUCGAAACUGAAAGUGUUUCAAAGAUAAGAGUCUUGGAACAGAAGAGUCUUGGAAUAGAAAAGAAUAUAAAGUCUAGGUGGUAUUACAUAGUCUAGAGUUAAAUUGUUCAUGAUUGGAACAUUUCAUAUUGAAAUGCUGCGAUAUAAAGGUUUCGAAUAAAUUAUUCCGUUUUGGGGCCGUAGCUCA